Beta vulgaris subsp. vulgaris (sugar beet) is the source of this 2101-nucleotide long non-coding RNA. RefSeq lists it as uncharacterized. The transcript has 10 exons. NCBI's taxonomy places the organism in Eukaryota, Viridiplantae, Streptophyta, Magnoliopsida, Caryophyllales, Amaranthaceae. The record is from RefSeq and is a predicted model, not a curated record.
UUCUGCUCCGUUAAUUGGAUCUCUAAACAAAGUUUCAGCAUGCCAACUUCCUCAGCCCACUUCUCGAUCUUCUCUCUUCAGCAUCCUCUUCAAUCUUAUCUUCGCUGUUCUUAUUAGACGCCAUAAACAAACACCCCCUAAAUGAUUAUUACUUCGGUUUAGCGCCGUUUCAUUUCACUCUCUCAAAGCCCUCAGUCACUCUCGCCUCUCGGAGAUCACACUUCGCCUCCUCUCAGUCUGCUGGUCGUUGCCGUCGGUCCGUUCAAUUAGUGGUGCGUCGCAGGCUCGCAGCGUCGGUCGUCGGCAAAAAUGUUUUGCUAUGUCCUAUAAAUUCGUCGACGAUUCAGUCUGAGACUCCAAGUGUUCGACUCCGACAGACAGUGGCUCAGCGUUCGCCUUUCAGGUUUUGUGGGCAUUUUCUAUAUACUUGGAAGCUGUUGCUAUUCUUCCGCAGCUUGAAGAAGUGGAAACGUCCAUAGCUUGACAUCUCAAUACGUUUUCUUUCUUGGGUUUUGUGGGCAUUUUCUAUAUACUUGGAAGCUGUUGCUAUUCUUCCGCAGCUUGAAGAAGUGGAAACGUCCAUAGCUUGACAUCUCAAUACGUUUUCUUUCUUGGGUUUUGUGGGCAUUUUCAUAUACUUGGAAGCUGUUGCUAUUCUUCCGCAGCUUGAAGAAUGGAAACGUCCAUAGCUUGACAUCUCAAUACGUUUUCUUUCUUGGGUUUUGUGGGCAUUUUCUAUAUACUUGGAAGGUGUUGCUAUUCUUCCCCAGCUUGAAGAACUGGAAACGUCGAUAACUUGACAUCUCAAUACGUUUUCUUUCUUGGGUUUUGUGGUUCUGUAUACUUGGAAGCUGUUAUAUUCUUCCCCACCUUGAAGAAGUGGAAACGUCGAUGACUUGACAUCUCAAUACGUUUCCUUUCUUGGAUCAGUGAGCUUAAAACUCCAAUUACAAGCUACACUUUUGCUUUUCUUAAUAAGUGGAUUUUUCUAAGCAUCUGGUUUUGUGGGCAUUUCUAUGGCUAUUAAUCAACCCGAUAGCAUAGUUUUGCUCCAAAGCACCUACUUAAGUAGGUUGUUGGAGAGAUUCACGACCUCUCUGACUAACCCAGAUGGUACCAAAUACUAUGAUUUGGUACCCUGGUUCCACUGGGCACGUGCGGCCAGUCUGCCUCCGGAUUACGGUAUGCAAUUGGAUGAAAAUCCAGUGCAAAAGCCAGUGAACCAAAAGGGAGAAUUUUGUGAGUACAACAAACUCACCUAAUCACUGAGUGCAAGAAGCUCAUGGAUGGGAGAAGCACCUUAUUUUCAAUAAGCCAUCUCACGGAAAGAUCAAUUCCCCAAGUCAAUUAUGUGAAUGUAGAUAUUGCAUGCGUUCUCAUAAAUUAGCAAAGCUAUUCUACAAGGAGGUGACUAAUUUUUUUUAUUGGUGGGUUCAACAAACCCACCUUAUCCAUGUUGGAUCCGCCACUGAGUGCAAGAAACUCAUGGAAGGGAGAAGCACCUUAUUUUGAAUAAGCCAUCUAAUGGAAAGAUCAAUUCCUCAAUUCAAUUAUGUGAAUGUGGAUAUUGUCAUGCGUUCUCAUAAAUUAGCAAAGCUAUUCUACAAGGAGGUGACAACAUGGAAGAUGAAAUUAUGAAAGAUACACAAAUUUAAGCCAUAGUCAUCAACAGCCUAAAGAUAAGCUAAAGAAUUACAAUGAGACGCAUGUUUUUUGCAAAUAUUCUUCGGUGCUAGGAGAUUCGAGUUGUUUAUUUUGGUCAUAGAAGGGUUUGGCAUAAGUGUGAACAAGGAUAUCCCAUGUUCUUUAGAGGUGUAAGCAAUAGAGAUUAGGGGGUCAAAAGGGUUGGAGAUAAAGUGCUGCGGCGAGCACCAAACAAAAGGUUGUCUCAGCGAACCCAAGUAACAUGCAUGAGCAGGGUUGGGGAUAGAGUCAUCUUCCUCGUUGGUAAUUUUUUUUUAUAAGUUCCCCAUUGGUAAUUUUGAGACUAGAAAAAAAUUAUAAAAUUGUUUUUAUUUUUAUGUUGUAUUGUAUACUAUUAAAAGAUUGUUAUUGCAUUUGAAUUUCAAUAUUCAAUUACUAGUUAGUGUUAUACUCCCAA